UGUUACUGCCAGGACCCAUAUGUAAAAGAAGCAGAAAACCUUAAGAAAUAUUUAAUGCAGGUCAUUCAGAUGUAGCGGAUAAUGGAACUCUUUUCUUAGGCAUUUUGAAGAAUUGGAAAGAGAGAGUGACAGAAAAAUAAUGCAGAGCCAAAUUGUCUCCUUUUACUUCAAACUUUUUAAAAACUUUAAAGAUGACCAGAGCAUCCAAAAGAGUGUGGAGACCAUCAAGGAAGACAUGAAUGUCAAGUUUUUCAAUAGCAACAAAAAGAAACGAGAUGACUUCGAAAAGCUGACUAAUUAUUCGUAACUGACUUGAAUGUCCAACGCAAAGCAAUACAUGAACUCAUCCAAGUGAUGGCUGAACUGUCGCCAGCAGCUAAAACAGGGAAGCGAAAAAGGAGUCAGAUGCUGUUUCGAGGUCGAAGAGCAUCCCA
This 434-nucleotide long non-coding RNA is filed under the name Homo sapiens (human). RNAcentral's name for it is "non-protein coding lnc-IL26-1:1". Lineage: Eukaryota; Metazoa; Chordata; Mammalia; Primates; Hominidae. The record is from RNAcentral.